RNAcentral lists this ribosomal RNA (627 nucleotides) under Salmonella enterica subsp. enterica serovar Infantis. RNAcentral describes it as "bacterial SSU rRNA". It matches the Rfam family "Bacterial small subunit ribosomal RNA", at positions 888 to 1515 of the family's 1533-position model. The record is from RNAcentral. Lineage: Bacteria; Pseudomonadati; Pseudomonadota; Gammaproteobacteria; Enterobacterales; Enterobacteriaceae. RNAcentral also lists the same sequence under 1 other name.
GCAAGGUUAAAACUCAAAUGAAUUGACGGGGGCCCGCACAAGCGGUGGAGCAUGUGGUUUAAUUCGAUGCAACGCGAAGAACCUUACCUGGUCUUGACAUCCACAGAAGAAUCCAGAGAUGGAUUUGUGCCUUCGGGAACUGUGAGACAGGUGCUGCAUGGCUGUCGUCAGCUCGUGUUGUGAAAUGUUGGGUUAAGUCCCGCAACGAGCGCAACCCUUAUCCUUUGUUGCCAGCGGUCCGGCCGGGAACUCAAAGGAGACUGCCAGUGAUAAACUGGAGGAAGGUGGGGAUGACGUCAAGUCAUCAUGGCCCUUACGACCAGGGCUACACACGUGCUACAAUGGCGCAUACAAAGAGAAGCGACCUCGCGAGAGCAAGCGGACCUCAUAAAGUGCGUCGUAGUCCGGAUUGGAGUCUGCAACUCGACUCCAUGAAGUCGGAAUCGCUAGUAAUCGUGGAUCAGAAUGCCACGGUGAAUACGUUCCCGGGCCUUGUACACACCGCCCGUCACACCAUGGGAGUGGGUUGCAAAAGAAGUAGGUAGCUUAACCUUCGGGAGGGCGCUUACCACUUUGUGAUUCAUGACUGGGGUGAAGUCGUAACAAGGUAACCGUAGGGGAACCUGC